UGGGUUUUGAGGGCAGCCUGCAGGAUCAAGGGUUCUUGGCUCUUCUGCCUCCCUUGUCAACUUUGUGUCUAACUCCUCCAUACUGAUAUCCUCUCUCACCAGACACAUAUGGCUCCUGCUGAAUUUUUACUAAAAUUCGACCUAUUAAAAUUCUCCAAUAGAACAUGAAACUCCAUCCUGUUCAGCCCAUUCAGGUUCCCAGGAAGCAGAUAAAAAUGGCGAAUAGGGGAGAUGAUGCCAAGGCCACUUUAAGUCUCCACAUGCCUCAGGCUGAUGUCUCCUUUCAACAUGUGCAGGGCAGCAUCUGCCUCCAUCCCCGGUAUCCUGAGCACAGAAAUGGUGGCUCAAGGGCUGAAGAGCUGACCAUGGCUGGUGACAGCUUCACAUAGCUGCUGCCUAGAGGAAGGCUAGGGGGAGACUGUGGACACCAUUUCAGCUGUGUCUAAGUGAGCUCCAGGGUCAUGGACAGAGAGGGGAGAGCUAGGUGGCCAAUCUUGUGUUUGCUAGCUCUGUGUUUCCUCUCACCAUCAGCCUAUGCACUGCCUUUUCUUGUCCUGGGGAUAAUCACACACACACACACACACACACACACACACACACAAGUAGUUGAAGUGUGUGUGUGUGUGUGUGUGUGUGUGGGAGAGAGAGAGAGAGAGAGAGAGAGAGAGAGGGAGAGAGAGAGAGAGAGAGAGAGAGAGAGAGAGAGGUAGCAGAUGUGUUGUAUGUGUGCUUGUGGUGGUUUGAAUAAAAAUGUCCCCCAAAGGUCCACAGGGAGUGGCGCUAUUAGAGGUAUGACCUUGGAGUAGGUGUGACUUUGUUGGAGGAGGUAUGUGACUAUGUGAGGGGUGGGCUCAAGUCGAUUCUCUUCCUGCUGCCU
RNAcentral lists this long non-coding RNA (877 nucleotides) under Mus musculus (house mouse). RNAcentral's name for it is "predicted gene 45339". Lineage: Eukaryota; Metazoa; Chordata; Mammalia; Rodentia; Muridae. The record is from RNAcentral.